This 492-nucleotide ribosomal RNA is filed under the name uncultured bacterium. Its description in RNAcentral is "partial 16S ribosomal RNA". It matches the Rfam family "Bacterial small subunit ribosomal RNA", at positions 29 to 507 of the family's 1533-position model. The record is from RNAcentral.
AGUGAACGCUGGCGGUAGGCCUAACACAUGCAAGUCGAACGGCAGCACAGUAAGCUUUUGCUCUUACGGGUGGCGAGUGGCGGACGGGUGAGGCAUACAUCGCAAUCUACUUUUUCGUGGGGGAUUACGUAGGGCAACUUACGCUAAUACCGCAUAUGACCUACGGGUGAAAGCAGUGGAUCUUCGGACCUUGCGCGAUUGAUUGAGCCGAUGUCGGAUUAGCUAGUUGGCGGGGUAAAGGCCCACCAAGGCGACGAUCCGUAGCUGAUCUGAGAGGAUGAUCAGCCACACUGGAACUGAGACACGGUCCAGACUCCUACGGGAGGCAGCAGUGGGGAAUAUUGGACAAUGGGCGCAAGCCUGAUCCAGCCAUACCGCGUGGGUGAAGAAGGCCUUCGGAUUGUAAAGCCCUUUUGUUGGGAAAGAAAAGCAGCAGGUUAAUACCCCGCUGUUCUGACGGUACCCAAAGAAUAAGCACCGGCUAACUUCGUG